UCAAAAAAGCAAGCUAAAAAUAACUUAAUUUCUAUUGGCAUAAAUCCCAUUGAGACGGCACGGUAUAAUUUGUUGGUUCUUUCCCAAGCAAUAGACAAAAAUAGGCAAAUGCGUAGAUUUGACGCUCUAUGGUCUGUGAAUACCCGUGUAAAGGUGCGUUCACACUUGUUGGCACGUGUUAGAUAAACAUACAGCAUGGACGACGUUACUAGUCUUGAAAAUUUAUUGAAAAAGUUCACGGUCAUAGAAAGUGUUGCAACAGUUGUAUAUUUACAAUCGAAGCACAGUACUAACAUAUAAUACAUUAAUCUCACAAUUUUUGUGCGUGGUUCUAACUAAAUUUGAUCUUCCUUGUAACCCUGCCCUAGUCUUCCAUCUACUAAGCCCGGCCUACAUAUUGCUUAGCCAAUGGCAAUCAUUUUUCAACUGUUUGAUAGUGAAACCAAUCUCAACCAACAUGGCCGCUAACAAACCAAAUAAUCAUUGUAUCGAACAAAAGCUAGUUCAAAAUAUUACGCAGAUCGGCUUGUUUUUAACUGCAGUCAUAUAGUACUAAAGUUUAUACAGUUGUUAUAUUGUUGUAAGUGAUAAAUUUAACUAGCAGUCGUAUGUUUUGCUCAUUAUGUUUCAUGAUUGAUUGCUAGCAAAGGUCACAGACCAGUAGUGUGGCAUCUACCAGCACUAUGACAGGACCCGAGGUGCACAGGUGUGUGAGCAUCUCUGCGUGAGUGAGCGAGUGCUUCUGCACCACUAUGCCGUUGGCUGAGGCCUCGUCGAAGCGAAGCUGCACGCGUUCACGGUCCUGAGGAGGAAACAAAGUGUUCUUUGUAAGAUCAGUACAUCAUGGUAGUUAAGAAAUAAGACUGGGAAAUGAGCUCUUAUUGCAAAAUGUAACAGACUAGCUAACUCAUAGGGUAAUGGGAUGUCUUACUGUUUUCCUAGACUUAACCAGCAUUUUUUUAACCAACUUCCCAAAAAGGAGGAGGUUCUCAAUUCGUUGGGAUGUUUUUUUUUAUUGUCUAUAUUAAUAUGCAAUAAAACUUCACUUUCCAUGAUACAGA
Long non-coding RNA from Helicoverpa zea (corn earworm), 1061 nucleotides. RefSeq lists it as uncharacterized. The transcript is spliced from 2 exons. NCBI's taxonomy places the organism in Eukaryota, Metazoa, Arthropoda, Insecta, Lepidoptera, Noctuidae. The record is from RefSeq and is a predicted model, not a curated record.